This is a long non-coding RNA of Triticum dicoccoides, 981 nucleotides long. RefSeq lists it as uncharacterized. The record is from RefSeq and is a predicted model, not a curated record. NCBI's taxonomy places the organism in Eukaryota, Viridiplantae, Streptophyta, Magnoliopsida, Poales, Poaceae. The transcript has 8 exons.
AACCCUGCCAUCGAAAGCCCCUCGGCCCAAUCCAAUCACCCGCACUCCACAACCCUCCCUCCCUCCUCGAUCUCUCUCCCUCAGCCACCACAAACCCUAGGUCCUGCCCUUCUACCUUGCUCUCGACCGCGCCUCCUCCUCCUCCCCUUCACCAUUCCCUCCAGCGGCAGGAACAGGGAGACAACGGCGGCGCUCGAUUUGAUCCGCCCCGCUCCCCUCCCUCUCCACUGCGCCUCGGCCUCGGCCGCCCCGUGCUCUGCCGGCGCCCGUCGGCCUCGAUCCGGCCUCGGCAGGAGGAGCUCAGCCUCGAGACAGGAGGAAGGGAGCAGCAGGAUACAGGAGCAUGACCUUCUUCUCGCGCUGCAGCCGCCGGCCUUGUCCUGCUCGAGGAGGAGGAGCAGCAGGAGGGGCGCACCCAGCCACAAAGGUAGCCAUCGUUGAGGGCUUCUUACACCUGAACCUCGAUCUCCAUGGUGCUGGCGUCCAGCAACUCGAGUUCAAGGGAAGGAGAGGAGGAUGACGCCCAGACAUGGAUAGGAACAGCAGCAGCUCAAGAAAAAUGAAGCAAGACAAGCUGGAGAAGCUCGCACGGACAUCCAAUUUCUUGUACCACUCAACUGAGCCGAGUUACUUGUGGAGACUAUAAGAAGAAUUUUUAGGAAGAGUUUGAUCAAGAAGAGCAAGGCUGACACCCAUAGUUGUUUGGCAUCAAAUGCAGAAGAUACACAUCCUAAGAUUGAAGCAAUGCUACCUGAACCAAAGGGCAAAGAGAAGACGAGGUCGAACCCCAACACCGGAAGGUAUCUUGGCACCAAACCAUCAUGAGGAGAAGGGGAUGUGUUGAUGUACAUGAGAUAAGCAGCCCUGUUCAGAAGUGCUUUAUAGAGGUCAUGUAAGCUUUCUAGACAUACAUGUUGUUUCCAGUCUCUCUCGGCUUCCCCAAUCCUAGAGAUUAAAGGCGGCCAAGGCCAGGGAGUACGA